GUGCUCACUUCAUCAGCACAUACACUAAAAUUGGACCAUCAAGAGAAGAUUAGUAUGGUCCCUGAGCAAGGAUGACAUACAAAUUCAUAAAGCAUUCCAUAUGUUU
Camelus dromedarius (Arabian camel) is the source of this 106-nucleotide small nuclear RNA. The record is from Ensembl. Lineage: Eukaryota; Metazoa; Chordata; Mammalia; Artiodactyla; Camelidae.